UGUAGUUUGAUUUAGAGCAGAAUGUUUCCAGAUGGGUUCUGAUGUAACCCUUUUCCUUCCAUCUCCCGAUGACACUGAAACUGAAAAAUCAGUCGCAGCACCCAGGUUUUGCUGUCCGUGAACAUGGGGUUCCUGGGGUCAGCAGCGUGGCUAGUGCCUUCCUCAGUCCCGCUUCUUUAACCAGAGGCGGUGGCCAGACCUCAUGAGCCAUCAUCUAGCAGUUACAUUACUGCGUGACAAACCGUCGGAGAGAAAGCUUAGAUCUGCCAGGCUCUACCCCCAGGAAGGAGAGGCCGACCGUCGGUGGUACCAGCUCUAACAGAAAGCCAGUCUUCGGCCGCCGGUGGCCUGCGUGGGCUGGGCUGGGCAGCCAGUGCCUGCAGACUUCUCGAACCUGCCCCCGGGGGUGCUCCCUGGCUCAGCCUCUGUGGAGGAGGCACGAUCAGCGCCAUGAAAGGAGCUUGAGUUCGGGGACACUAAUUAGAGGACUGUCUCCCAUGGAAGUGCAACCCCUGAGCCACCAAGCAGGGAAGACGGGCUGUCCGGCGUGCAUCUGGCUUGGCAAGCAGGCCCGGACACAAUACUCUCUCGUCCUGUACGUGCCAGGCCAAGGAAGGACCGCGAUCAGACUUCCUGUCUUCAUUGCCACACCCUCAGAAAAUCGUACUGAGGAAAAUGUGAGAUUUCCGUUUUAACAGUGAUGGGGAGAGGACGUCUUUCUCAAGCACGACCCAAGUCCAUAAAACAUAAAAACAGAUUUCACUGUAUAAAAUCGCAACACUUCCAUACUGCAAGGAUACUAUAAGCAAAAUUAGAAGAUAAAUGACAUUUCCAAAGAGCGGAGAUAAUGGUGGCCACCUAAAUCUGAAUCUCCCUGCACACCCUCCAAACAACUGUACAGGUCAACAAAAAGAAACACACACACACACACACACACACACACACACACACAUCUCAUACUUUCAUCUUAACUAGAAAUCCCAAUAACACUACAAACUUCAUAUUAUCUGUAAUUCAGAAAAAACACAUCAAUUUACAGCAGCACGAGACCUGGACCUGCCACCACAAGUUUUGCAGAGACCUGGGAGGGCAUCUCCGGAAAAUCUACGUGGAAGAGCGGAGAGGGAAGGAAGUGAAGACAGCUCUCAGAAAGAUAAAGGCCAUCUUGGGUGUGAAGAUAUUGAAUGCGUUCUGGUAUCUAGGAGCACUGACUGUGGUACAGAAACUGCAGAGUGAUGUGAGAUUCGAAAAAGCCGUUCUGGAAAGGCUGGGGAAGAAACGGAUGGAAAAGUCGAGGCAAUCUUUGGAUACUUCCUAGAGAAGGCAAAAAGAAACAUGGGAGAAAGAUUCAAAGACUCGGGAUCUGUCAAGACAAAGAAAACCAAAAUUAAAAUAAAAUAAAAUGUAAAAUAUAAAAUAAAAUAAACACAAACACUA
Long non-coding RNA from Canis lupus familiaris (dog), 1437 nucleotides. RefSeq lists it as uncharacterized. Lineage: Eukaryota; Metazoa; Chordata; Mammalia; Carnivora; Canidae. The record is from RefSeq and is a predicted model, not a curated record. The transcript is spliced from 3 exons.